Molecule: ribosomal RNA, 460 nt
Filed under: uncultured bacterium
Lineage: Bacteria
Description: bacterial SSU rRNA
Rfam family: Bacterial small subunit ribosomal RNA
Source: RNAcentral
GACGAACGCUGGCGGUGUGCUUCAUACAUGCAAGUCGAACGAUAAGGCACCUUCGGGUGUACAUAAGUGGCGGACGGGUGAGUAACACGUAGAGAAUCUACCUCAAGGAAGGGGACAACAGUUGGAAACGACUGCUAAUACCCUAUAUGAGCUAGGCUGGAAUGCCUAUCUUGAAACUUCCGGGGCCUUGAGAUGAGUCUGCGUCUGAUUAGCUUGUUGGUGGGGUAAAGGCCUACCAAGGCGACGAUCAGUAGCUGGUUUGAGAGGAUGAUCAGCCACAAUGGGACUGAGACACGGCCCAUACUCCUACGGGAGGCAGCAGUGGGGGAUAUUGCACAAUGGGCGAAAGCCUGAUGCAGCAACGCCGCGUGAGGGAAGAAGGUCUUCGGAUUGUAAACCUUUGUCCUAAGUGAAGAAACAAAUGACGGUAGCUUAGGAGGAAGCCACGGCUAACUACGUG